This 2923-nucleotide ribosomal RNA is filed under the name Campylobacter lari. RNAcentral's name for it is "23S ribosomal RNA". It matches the Rfam family "Bacterial large subunit ribosomal RNA". Lineage: Bacteria; Pseudomonadati; Campylobacterota; Epsilonproteobacteria; Campylobacterales; Campylobacteraceae. The record is from RNAcentral.
AAAAAAGGUAAGCUACUAAGAGCGAAUGGUGGAUGCCUUGACUGGUAAAGGCGAUGAAGGACGUACUAGACUGCGAUAAGCUACGGGGAGCUGUCAAGAAGCUUUGAUCCGUAGAUUUCCGAAUGGGGCAACCCAGUAUAUAGAGAUAUAUACUACCAUAAUGGAGCGAACGAGGGGAAUUGAAACAUCUUAGUACCCUCAGGAAAAGAAAUCAAUAGAGAUUACGUCAGUAGCGGCGAGCGAAAGCGUAAGAGGGCAAACCCAGUGCUUGCACUGGGGGUUGUAGGACUGCAAUGUGCAAUAAGUAAGGUUAGUAGAACACUCUGGAAAGUGUAGCCAUAGAGGGUGAUAGUCCCGUAUACGAAAACCAAACUUUAGCUAGCAGUAUCCUGAGUAGGGCGAAACACGUGGAAUUUUGUCUGAAGCUGGGUCGACCACGAUCCAACCCUAAAUACUAAUACCAGAUCGAUAGUGCACAAGUACCGUGAGGGAAAGGUGAAAAGAACUGAGGUGAUCAGAGUGAAAUAGAACCUGAAACCAUUUGCUUACAAUCAUUCAGAGCACUAUGUAGCAAUACAGUGUGAUGGACUGCCUUUUGCAUAAUGAGCCUGCGAGUUGUGGUGUCUGGCAAGGUUAAGCACACGCGAAGCCGUAGCGAAAGCGAGUCUGAAUAGGGCGAUUAAGUCAGAUGCUGCAGACCCGAAACGAAGUGAUCUAUCCAUGAGCAAGUUGAAGCUAGUGUAAGAACUAGUGGAGGACUGAACCCGCUAGCGUUGAAAAGCUAUGGGAUGACUUGUGGAUAGGGGUGAAAGGCCAAUCAAACUUCGUGAUAGCUGGUUCUCUCCGAAAUAUAUUUAGGUAUAGCGUUGUGUCGUAGUAUAAGGGGGUAGAGCACUGAAUGGGCUAGGGCAUACACCAAUGUACCAAACCCUAUCAAACUCCGAAUACCUUAUAUGUAAUCACAGCAGUCAGGCGGCGAGUGAUAAAAUCCGUCGUCAAGAGGGAAACAACCCAGACUAUCAGCUAAGGUCCCCAAGUCUUACUUAAGUGGAAAACGAUGUGAAGUUACUUAAACAACCAGGAGGUUGGCUUAGAAGCAGCCAUCCUUUAAAGAAAGCGUAAUAGCUCACUGGUCUAGUGAUUUUGCGCGGAAAAUAUAACGGGGCUAAAGUAAGCACCGAAGCUAUAGACUUAGUUUACUAAGUGGUAGGAGAGCGUUCUAUUUGCGUCGAAGGUAUACCGGUAAGGAGUGCUGGAGCGAAUAGAAGUGAGCAUGCAGGCAUGAGUAGCGAUAAUUAAUGUGAGAAUCAUUAACGCCGUAAACCCAAGGUUUCCUACGCGAUGCUCGUCAUCGUAGGGUUAGUCGGGUCCUAAGCCGAGUCCGAAAGGGGUAGGUGAUGGCAAAUUGGUUAAUAUUCCAAUACCAACAUUAGUGUGCGAUGGAAGGACGCUUAGGGCUAAGCAAGCUAGCGGAUGGAAGUGCUAGUCUAAGGAUGUAGGAGCUUAUAUAGGCAAAUCCGUAUAAGAAUACUCCGAGAUCUUAAAGGCUUUUUGAAGUCUUCGGAUGGAUAGAAGAAUUGCUGAUGCCGUCGAGCCAAGAAAAGUUUCUAAGUUUAGCUAAUGUUGCCCGUACCGUAAACCGACACAGGUGGGUGGGAUGAGUAUUCUAAGGCGCGUGGAAGAACUCUCUUUAAGGAACUCUGCAAAAUAGCACCGUAUCUUCGGUAUAAGGUGUGGUUCACUUUGUAUUAGGAUUUACUCCGAAAGCAAAGAAACUUACAACAAAGAGUCCCUCCCGACUGUUUACCAAAAACACAGCACUCUGCUAACUCGUAAGAGGAUGUAUAGGGUGUGACGCCUGCCCGGUGCUCGAAGGUUAAUUGAUGGGGUUAGCAUUAGCGAAGCUCUUGAUCGAAGCCCGAGUAAACGGCGGCCGUAACUAUAACGGUCCUAAGGUAGCGAAAUUCCUUGUCGGUUAAAUACCGACCUGCAUGAAUGGCGUAACGAGAUGGGAGCUGUCUCAAAGAGGGAUCCAGUGAAAUUGUAGUGGAGGUGAAAAUUCCUCCUACCCGCGGCAAGACGGAAAGACCCCGUGGACCUUUACUACAGCUUGACACUGCUAUUUGGAUAAGAAUGUGCAGGAUAGGUGGGAGGCUUUGAGUAAUAGACGCUAGUUUAUUAUGAGCCAUUGUUGAGAUACCACUCUUUCUUAUUUGGGUAGCUAACUAGCUUGAGUUAUCCUCAAGUAGGACAAUGUCUGGUGGGUAGUUUGACUGGGGCGGUCGCCUCCCAAAUAAUAACGGAGGCUUACAAAGGUUGGCUCAGAACGGUUGGAAAUCGUUCGUAGAGUAUAAAGGUAUAAGCCAGCUUAACUGCAAGACAUACAAGUCAAGCAGGGACGAAAGUCGGUCUUAGUGAUCCGGUGGUUCUGUGUGGAAGGGCCAUCGCUCAAAGGAUAAAAGGUACCCCGGGGAUAACAGGCUGAUCUCCCCCAAGAGCUCACAUCGACGGGGAGGUUUGGCACCUCGAUGUCGGCUCAUCGCAUCCUGGGGCUGGAGCAGGUCCCAAGGGUAUGGCUGUUCGCCAUUUAAAGCGGUACGCGAGCUGGGUUCAGAACGUCGUGAGACAGUUCGGUCCCUAUCUGCCGUGGGCGUAAGAAGAUUGAAGAGAUUUGACCCUAGUACGAGAGGACCGGGUUGAACAAACCACUGGUGUAGCUGUUGUUCUGCCAAGAGCAUCGCAGCGUAGCUAAGUUUGGAACGGAUAAACGCUGAAAGCAUCUAAGCGUGAAGCCAACUCUAAGAUGAAUCUUCUCUAAGCUCUCUAGAAGACUACUAGUUUGAUAGGCUGGGUGUGUAAUGGAUGAAAGUCCUUUAGCUGACCAGUACUAAUAGAGCGUUUGGCUUAUCUUUUUUAUAAGCAU